AACCAUAGAAACCUGCGGAGUACCUGCGGAGGGAUCAUUACUGAGUGAGGGCCCUCUGGGUCCAACCUCCCACCCGUGUUUAACGAACCUUGUUGCUUCGGCGGGCCCGCCUCACGGCCGCCGGGGGGCAUCCGCCCCCGGGCCCGCGCCCGCCGAAGACACCUGUGAACUCUGUCUGAAGUUGCAGUCUGAGAAACUAUUUAAAUUAGUUAAAACUUUCAACAACGGAUCUCAGAUCGG
RNAcentral lists this unclassified non-coding RNA (240 nucleotides) under soil metagenome. Its description in RNAcentral is "partial contains 5.8S ribosomal RNA, internal transcribed spacer 2, and large subunit ribosomal RNA". The record is from RNAcentral.